CGGGGUGAGUAAUGUCUGGGAAACUGCCUGAUGGAGGGGGAUAACUACUGGAAACGGUAGCUAAUACCGCAUAACGUCUUCGGACCAAAGUGGGGGACCUUCGGGCCUCACGCCAUCGGAUGUGCCCAGAUGGGAUUAGCUGGUAGGUGGGGUAAUGGCUCACCUAGGCGACGAUCCCUAGCUGGUCUGAGAGGAUGACCAGCCACACUGGAACUGAGACACGGUCCAG
Molecule: ribosomal RNA, 229 nt
Filed under: uncultured bacterium
Lineage: Bacteria
Description: partial 16S ribosomal RNA
Rfam family: Bacterial small subunit ribosomal RNA
Source: RNAcentral